Long non-coding RNA from Labrus mixtus (cuckoo wrasse), 537 nucleotides. RefSeq lists it as uncharacterized. Lineage: Eukaryota; Metazoa; Chordata; Actinopteri; Labriformes; Labridae. The record is from RefSeq and is a predicted model, not a curated record. The transcript has 2 exons.
ACCUUUAUACCUCUAUAUCUACCGCUCCAGUUGGUGUCAGAAGUUCCUAUGUGGCUUCUGAUGCUUACUCUGAUGAGAGAGAGAGAGAGAGACGUCCAUUGUUGCGUCUCUCCUUAAUUGUUAUGGUUGUGAUAUGUCUCCUGUUUAAUGUGAGCCUUCUAAUGCAGUUUUGUUCCAUGCAUGCUGGUUGCUGCUGAUUCUGCACUCUCUUGGUUUAGCUAUGUCAUUAUUAACAAUUGUCCCUACACUGAGCUCACCUGUUGUCAUUUGUGUUGUUUGGGCAACUUUGAAACUAUGUACUGCUGAUGAAGACUGUCAAAGGAGUAGACACAUACAAGAGGAACACAGGGAAGCAAUGACGUCAGCGAGGUCCGGACCUCGUUUUUUAUAAUUUUAUAGUAACAGUUUAACUAGUGUAAUAAUAUAUUUAUUCCGGUGCAUGUUGACUGAAUUGAUCUCAGUUUAUUUCUGUCUCCUCAAAUUAUUUCUAGUCCUGCUGAGGUCUCAGCUGAUUCUUUCAACAAGUGGGCAAUAUAA